RNAcentral lists this ribosomal RNA (330 nucleotides) under uncultured bacterium. RNAcentral describes it as "bacterial SSU rRNA". It matches the Rfam family "Bacterial small subunit ribosomal RNA", at positions 568 to 898 of the family's 1533-position model. The record is from RNAcentral.
UCCGUAGGCGGUGUGGCAAGUCGGAAGUGAAAUCUCUGGGCUUAACUCAGAGGCUGCUUCCGAAACUGCCGUGCUAGAGUGCGAGAGAGGCAAGUGGAAUUGCGGGUGUAGCGGUGAAAUGCGUAGAUAUCCGCAGGAACAUCCGAGGCGAAAGCGGCUUGCUGGAUCGCAACUGACGCUGAGGGACGAAAGCUAGGGGAGCAAACAGGAUUAGAUACCCUGGUAGUCCUAGCCCUAAACCAUCAGGACUUGGGGUUUGCCCUGUACGGGGCAAGUCCCGUAGCUAACGCGUUAAGUCCUGCGCCUGGGGAGUACGGUCGCAAGGCCGAA